UACGGGGGGGGUAAGCGUUGUUCGGAAUUACUGGGCGUAAAGGGCUCGUAGGCGGCCAACUCAGUCAGACGUGAAAUCCCUCAGCUUAACUGGGGAACUGCGUCUGAUACUGGAUGGCUUGGAUUUGGGAGAGGGAUGCGGAAUUCCAGGUGUAGCGGUGAAAUGCGUAGAUAUCUGGAGGAACACCGGUGGCGAAGGCGGCAUCCUGGACCAACAUUGACGCUGAGGAGCGAAAGCUAGGGGAGCAAACGGG
This 253-nucleotide ribosomal RNA is filed under the name uncultured bacterium. RNAcentral describes it as "partial 16S ribosomal RNA". It matches the Rfam family "Bacterial small subunit ribosomal RNA", at positions 524 to 776 of the family's 1533-position model. The record is from RNAcentral.